RNAcentral lists this non-coding RNA (201 nucleotides) under Roseovarius pacificus. Lineage: Bacteria; Pseudomonadati; Pseudomonadota; Alphaproteobacteria; Rhodobacterales; Roseobacteraceae. The record is from RNAcentral.
GUUAUCGGGAAAAGGCAAGGUGCCGCCCACGGGCGGAGAAUUGGGAAGCCGGUGAAAAUCCGGCACUGCCCCCGCAACGGUAAAGGUGUUGUACGGGCGCGGUAUGACCACUGGGGAAGAGGAGCCCCGGGAAGGUGCCGCGCGCAGGUCCGAGCAGGGCCGCACCGCAGUCCGGAAACCAGCCUUGCACGAGACGUCAAA